This 7869-nucleotide long non-coding RNA is filed under the name Erythranthe guttata (spotted monkey flower). RNAcentral's name for it is "long non-coding RNA (EGUT_LNC002854)". Lineage: Eukaryota; Viridiplantae; Streptophyta; Magnoliopsida; Lamiales; Phrymaceae. The record is from RNAcentral.
AGGUUAUUUUGGUGAAUAAUUCGGAACUCACUAAUGGAGGUAUGAAAAUAGCAAUUUACGAAACUUACUAUAUUAUAGUAGGGGUUAAGUACGAUUCUUAUAGGUAACGAGUUUAAAAGGUACGAAAAGGAAGUAUUUAGAUUUAAUAUUACACCACCAAAAGAAAAUAACCAAAAGUCUUUAGCAUCGUUCAUAGGUCCUCGUACGUCUUCCAAAAUUCCGGGCAAGACCUCGAUCCGCUACUCGACCCAUCCCGGCUGAGGAUUACUAGCACUACUACCUGCAAUUAAAAGACAUCUAUAUGAGCUAUAAAGCUCAGUAAGAAAUCCGAUGAAAUAUCGAACUUUGAAAAUAUGUUAUAUAUAAUAUAUAAUAUUACAUACCCAUUCUUACCCACAUUCCGUACAACACACAAGACAAUCGGUCAAACCACAUAACUCACGAAAACACAUCAUUCGCACAUAAUCACGUACUUAUGCAAAAUGACUAAGAUGCCCUUUUUAUGAAAAUCAUGAAAAAAACACAUUUUUCGUUUUAUCGGAUCCGUGAAAGAUAAAUUUCUGUACCUGGAUAAUAAACCUGUUACGAGCCCGUUUUCACUAAGUGGAAUCAAACCACAACACACAUCAUCCUAGCUGGAUACCGGCCCACUAUAUCCGAGUUGUUUAUUACCCGAUAUUCCAUUAAUCUUUAAAUUUAAAAACCUUUUAAUGCAACUUUUCGAAAUCAUGCUUAUGACCCACACAUAACAUCACAAAUAUCAAUCUAGUGCCACAAAAUCAUACAAAUAUCACAAUUUACCACAUAUUUAUAAUUUGGGCAAAAAUCCCCAAAUUCUCACACAUAAACACACAACCACACACGGCACACACCUCAUGCACAAUCAGCAAACACACACUCACACAUAUUCAGCACACACACAUGCAACCACACAUUAAAACAUCACCAUUUAAUAUGAAACCAUGCUUGUAAAGCAAGCACCCCUUUUUACCUUUCAUUAAAUGAACUUAUUACCACAUCUAGGUGAUAAUCCAUUUCAAUCAAUUUUCACAGCAAUUAAUUCACAUCCAGGCAUCAAUUAAAAUUACAAAACCCCAAAUCUCAUCACUCAUCACCAUUAAAUCAAAGACAUAAACAUAAAAGCACAAAACAAAAUAAAUGACAUGCAAAUUGUCCAAAUUUCGAAAUAAUAGCAAACUAAUUCCCAAAAUUCCCAAAUUAAAUACUAGGACUCCUAACUGACCCAAAUUUUAGUUUCUGAAAUUACUUUAAAUAUUCACCAAGUUUCGAAUUUUCUUGAAAUCAAAACUAGGAAAUUCCAUUUUUCUUUUGAAAAAUCCAAAACUCUCAUGUGACCUUAAUUACUUUGAAAACUUUGUAAAGAAAACUUUUUCCCCAUUUAAUACUUACUGGAAAAAUAGAUCCAAACUUUAAUAAUGAGAGAUCUUUCAAAAAUUGCAGUUUUGACCCCAAAGUUUCAAGAUUUACACAUGCAACCACACUAAAAGUUCAAAAUCCACUUUUUCAUGAAAAACCCUUAACAAAUCUGAAAUUAUAUUUUAUUAGAUGCAGAAAUUGAAGUUGAAAAGUCACUUUAUGCAGAAAUUUCAAAAAUUACAUAUUUUACCCCAAAAUCUCUAGAUCUUCACAUGCAAUACCACUAAAAGUUCAAAAACCAUUUUUUCUUACAAAACUUCUUUAAAUCCGAAAAUUUUGUUCAAUAAAUGCUGGAAAACAGUUUUGAAAACACAUUUAGGACUGACUUCUCGAAAAUUACAGAUUUGACCCAAAAAUCUUUCGAUUUACACAUGCAACCCGAUAAAAGUUCAAAAUUUCAUUUUUCUUGAAAACCCCUUUUUGAAAUCCGAAAUUUUUAAUUCUUUUGGCCAAUAAAAGUUGUGUCUACCCACUAUCAACAUAGAUGAUGCAUGCAAGAACAAGAAAUUAACACCAAACACUUCUUUUCCAUUUUUCCCCAAAAAACCCUAAAUUUUCGAAAUCACUCCCAAUCUUUUAGAAAAUUCUGAAAAUCUUUUUAAUACUAUUGAUGCCAUUUAAUUGCAGCAAGAAAUCGGAAUUUCUUACCUUAAAAUCGAAGAAAGAAAACAACCGAAGGAAGAGAGGCUUUCAAGCACCGAAAUCCAACCAAGCUACCUUGAUUGUGAAUGAAAUGGUGUGAGCUUCAAGGAGGGAUGAGUUGUUACCUCCCGUUAGGAGGCAAGUGGUUUUGAUGGUGUUUUUGGAGUAGUCUAUAGCAAGGGUUAAAUAGGGAACCUUCAUUUUGUUUUUGGGAUUUUCUUUGAAAAUGGGAGGUGAGGUGGAUGAAGAAGAAAGCCGACGGUGGUGGUGAUGGCUUCGGUGGAUAGAGGAGGAGAAGACAAGUAAUUGGCUAGGUGUUGGAAGAAAAAAAGAUGAAGAGUGUCUCUUCAUCUUACUAAUCCCCUCUUUUGUGUAAAAUUAGGAAAUGAUGGCAAUUUGCCAAGUGGAAAGAUAUGCAUAAUUAGUACUAAUUUAUUUAUUUAAAUAAGUCCCACUUGUAUAACACACACACACACAAUUCGGACAUGCACACACACACACACACACACACACAUAUAUAUAUAUAUAUAUAUAUAUAUAUAUAUAUAUAUAUAUAUAUAUAUAUAUAUAUAUAUAUAUAUAUAUAUAUAUAUAUAUAUAUAAUUCACAUAAGUCACGAAAUUCCUAGAAGUUCAAUUUACGGGAAUUUAAAUCAUAUAAAUCACACAUAUAAUAACGCAUGUAAUUAUUCACGUAAGUCACAUAAUUAAAUUCACGUAAUGCAUAUAAUUAAUAUCAUGUAAUAAUAUUACGUAAGGGUUCUCGAGUUGGAAAUAUUAGUCUCGGGUUUUUAGGGUUUUCGGGUUUCGGAAAGGUGGGGUGUUACAAUCUCCCCCCCUUAAAGAAAUUUUGUCCCCAAAAUUGUUACCUGAACAACUCGGGGAAAUUUUCGCGCAUUUCCUCUUCCCGUUCCCACGUGGCUUCUUCGGGUGUAUGGUUUUGCCAAAGGAUCUUAACAAAUUUUAGGUCUCGGUUUCGUAGGGUUUUGGUUUUGAAAUCGAGUAUUUGGGACGGUUUCUCUUCGUAGGAAAGGUUAGGGUUUAGAUCGAUCGGUUCGGUUUUCAAUACGUGGUAUGGACUGCGAAUGUAUUUUCGAAGCAUGGAAACGUUAAAGACAUUGUGAAAGUUGGAUAAAUUGGGUGGUAAGGCUAGUCGAUAAGCGCGAGUACCAACUUGGUCGAGAAUUUCGAAUGGGCCAAUUAGUCGCGGUGCUAAUUUUCCCUUUUUUUCCAAAUCGCAUAAUUCCUUUGAAAGGCGCCACUUUUAAGAAUACGGAGUCUCCGACUUCGAAUUCGAGAUCUCUCCUUCGAGUGUUGGCAUAGCUUUGUUGCUGAUCUUGGGCGAUUCGCAUUUUCUCUCGGAUGUUUUUGAUGAUAUCGACAGUUUGUUGGACUAGGUCGGGACCAAGAAAUUUUCUUUCGCCAAUGGAGCGGGGACCUACACUUGCGGCCAUAAAGAGCUUCGUAGGGUGCCAUUCCAAUUGACGAGUGAAAGCUAUUGUUGUACGCGAAUUAGAUUAGUGGGAGGCGGGAUUCCCAAUUUCCUCCAAAGUCGAGAAUGCAAGAGCAGAGAAGAUCUUCAAGGGUUUUGAUAGUUCGUUCGGAUUGGCCGUCGGUUUGGGGGUGAUAGGCGGUGCUAAAGUUUAAUCGCGUUCCGAGGGUUUCGUGUAAACGUUUCCAGAAUUUUGACGUGAAUCGAGGGUCUCGGUCGGAAAUAAUGGAGACGGGGACACCGUGGAGUCGGACUAUGUCUCGGACCUAUAGUUCGGUCAGCUUUUCUAAACUGAACGUCAUUCGGACCGGAAGAAAGUGAGCCGUUUUGGUCAGUCGGUCAACGAUCACCCAAAUGGCGUCGGAUCCCCUUUGGGUCUUCCGAAAUCAUUGCACGAAGUCCAUUGUGAUAGCUUCCCAUUUCCAUUCUAGAAUUAGUUUUGAUUGAAGUAGACCUCCGGGCCUUUGAUGUUCCGCUUUGACUUGUUGGCACACUAGGCAUUCGGCGAUGAAUCGGGCCACAUCUUUCUUCAUUCCAGGCCACCAGUAGAGCUUUUUGAGAUCUUGGUACAUCUUGGUUUCUCCGGGAUGGCAAGUGUACGUGGUUUGGUGAGCUUCUGUUAGGAUCAGUUGGCGAACAUUUGGAUCAUCGGGGACGUAAAUGCGAUUUUGGAAUCUGACGAGACCUUCUUUGAAAAUUCGGAAGUUGGGAUUGGAUUCGAGGUUAUCGCGGAUUUUGAGAAUAUGUGGAUCGUUUUGUUGGGCUGCUUUGAUCGAUUCUCCCAAGUUAGGUUGGACUAUAAGGGCGUUGAUCGAUUCGCGGCUAAGUGCGUCGGCGACCACAUUUGCUUUGCCGGGGUGAUAGAGUAUCUCGCAGUCGUAAUCCUUGACUAGUUCGAGCCAUCUUCGUUGCCUCAUAUUCAAGUCCUUCAGGGUGAAGAAGUAUUUCAGGCUCUUGUGAUCGGUGUAGAUAGUACACUUUUCACCAUAGAGAUAGUGUCGCCAGAUCUUGAGUGCGAAAACGACGGCGGCUAAUUCGAGAUCGUGCGUCGGAUAAUUGCGUUCAUAUUCCUUGAGUUGACGUGAGGCGUAGGCAAUGACUUUCCCAUUUCGCAUAAGGACGGCGCCAAAACCUAAUUUCGAGGCAUCACUGUAGACUAUGAAUUCUCCAACUUUCUCUGGUAGUGUGAGGAUUGGUGCCGAUGUGAGUCGAUUCUUUAAUUUGGUGAAACUGGCGUCGCAUUCGGGCGUCCACUGGUAUUUGACGUCUUUUCGAGUUAAUCAGGUGAGUGGGGAGGCAAGCUUCGAGAAAUCCUUCACGAAUUUGCGGUAGUAGCCGGCUAGUCCAAGGAAACUUCGGAUUUCCUUUGCGUUCUUCGGAAUUAACCAAUUGGACACCGCUUCUAUUUUGUUAGGGUCGACGGAGAUUCCUUGUUCUGAAACAAUGUGACCAAGGAAAGCUACACUCGUUAGCCAGAAUUCGCAUUUGCUGAAUGCGAUCGGAGAAUUUGGAGUACGGUGCGAAGGUGCGACAUAUGAUCUUUUUGGGUUUUGUAGUAGAUGAGAAUGUCGUCGAUGAAGACAAUUACAAAUUGGUCCAAAUAUUGGUGAAAAACUCGGUUCAUAAGGUCCAUGAAAGCUGCGGGGGCAUUAGUUAGACCGAAGGGCAUGACAACGAAUUCAUAGUGGCCAUAUCGGGUUCUGAAAGCUGUUUUGGGGAUGUCAGACUCCUUAAUUUUGAGUUGGUGAUAACCGUAUCGGAGAUCGAUCUUGGAGAAGACUGAUGAGCCUUGGAGUUGGUCGAAGAGAUCAUCGAUUCGAGGUAGAGGGUAUUUAUUCUUGAUUGUGAUUUUGUUGAGUUCACGGUAAUCAAUGCAAAGGCGGAGGGAUCCGUCUUUCUUUUUGACAAAGAGAACCGGUGCGCCCCACGGGGAAUGGCUGGGUCAAACAUAGCCUUUGUCGAGCAAUUCUUGGACUUGGUCCUUCAGCUCCUUCAAUUCCAUCGUGGCCAUACGGUACGGGGCUUUGGAAAAUGGCGUAGCUCCGGGGAUGAGAUUGAUUUCGAACUCGAUUUCUCGAUCCGGCGGGAGUCCAGGAAUGUCAUUAGGAAAUACGUCGGGGAAUUCUUGGACAACUCGAAUGUCGGAUAUUUGGGCUUUGGGAUCGGGCUCGGAUUUCAGAAUAUCCACUAACUAACCGGAAUGGCCUUUGUGGAUGAGUUUGAUUUCUUUGAUCGCGGAUAUGAUUGGAAUUGAGGUUUUGGGUUGACUUCGGAAUUUUAGGGUUUCGCCGCUCGGAAGAGGAAAAAUAACCAUUUUUGAGGCACAAUCAAUUUGGGCUUUGAAUUUGGUUAACCAGUCCAUGCCUAGUAUAACUUUGAAGUUGUGGAUUGGUAGGAGGAUUAAAUCGAAAUUCAUGGGUUGAGUGUGAACUCGGAUUGGGCAUUUGAUUAUGGCUAGGUUGGAGCACAUUUCUUCGCCAGAGGGAAUGAGAAUGCGGUAUUCGUAAUUUAGUCGAUUCGGUUCGAGAUUUAAGUGCGCAAUUAUGUCUUUUGAUAUAAAGAAAUGUGUAGAGCCGGAAUCCAUUAGAGCGUAUAUGGGUGCUUCGAGGAUAAAUAUGAUACCUGCUACCAUGGACGGCUCUUGCUCAAUUUGUUCAGUCAGGGCGAAUACUCGACCGGGGGACGUUCGGCGGAGGUUUCGGACAAUCUUUCACCAUGUGUCCGGGCUGAUGGCAUCGGAAGCAACUUCUCGUUCCUUGUACGCAUUCUCCGGAGUGACUCUUUCCACACUUUGGGCAGGUUGGCCUUGGCGGCGGUGGCGGUGGUCCGGUUGGCUGGCGGAUGGGCUGCGUUCCUUUUCCUCGGAAUGGGCUGUUGCCAAAGUUGUUCUUUUUCCAUGGGCGUUGGAUGUUUGGUGGCGGUCGGCGUUUGUUUUGAAUUUCUUCCUCGUCUUGGGCAGCCAUGAGUGCUUUGUCUACGAGUUGGCAGAAAGUCGAUACUUCAGACAUACGAAUGUCUCUACGGAUUUCGGGUUGGAGGCUGCGAAUAAAAUGGUUCUCCUUUUCUUCUGCGUCUCGAGCGAUGAAUGGGGCGUAGAGGCAGCCAGGUUCAAAACGGCGGAUGUAUUCGAUCAUUGGUAAGUCGCCUUGGCGGAGUUCGAGGAAUUCUUUGAGUUUGUGGGCUCGCACGUCUUUCGAGAAAUAUUUUUCGAAGAAUUGGACUUUGAAAUCGGUCCAUGGCAGAGUCUCGAGGUUCGUUCCUUCUUUGAUCCCUUCGCACCAGUGACGAGCUUCGUUUCGGAGUAGGAAUAUGGCACAGUGCACCCGGUCGCGAUCGGUCAUUUGCAUAUAGUCGUAUAUGACUUCGAGAGAUUUGAUCCACUCUUCGGCUAUGGCGGGAUCGGUUCCACCGUGGAAUUCGGAUGGGUUCAUUCAGAGGAAUCGUUCGUAUAUAGCUUGAGGCGCAUUGUUUUGAGGCGGGGUUCGGUUACGUUGGAGGAGUUGUUGGAUUUGACGUUGGUGGAUUUGGGCUUGUUCACUGAUUAGGUUGGAGAGAUUAUAGAUAGUUUGAUUGUGGUCUUGUGGUGCAUUGGAAGGAGUGCUCGGGUUUCCUCGAGUUAUACGUCUCGCCAUUAUUUCAAUAUUAAUCCACGACUAAUAAAUAAAGCAAGUAAAACACAUAAAGAAAAUAAUGCACAUACUUUACCGGAUGGUUCGAGCUUCGCGUCUCGAGUAGUCUUUAAGCCCGUGAAGUUCGUACGAGUAUCUAUGAACCAUGCUCUGAUACCACUCUCUGUAGCACCCCCUUCUAGUCGGGCGAUAAAUCGAACCGGUUUAUCGGAAUGUUUAUUAAACUAGCGGAAGCAAAGGAUCUCUUUGUAAUUUUUAAAACUUUGGAAUUGGGCGAAAAUGCAAUUAUCAAAAAUAUCUUCUUUUGGGUAUUGAAAACUUUGCAUUUUCGAAAAACUUUUCUUAGGUUACUUUAGCCGAAUAAAGGUUUCGUUUGGAAAUAAGUUUCGAGGGGAGGUUUUUAGUUCGAGUGCUACAAUAUCACUAUCGGUUUUCGGUUCGAGAAGAAAUCAGAGUUUGGAAAUGUUAUUUUGGUGAAUAAUUCGGAACUCACUAAUGGAGGUAUGAAAAUAGCAAUUUACGAAACUUACUAUAUUAUAGUAGGGGUUAAGUACGAUUCUUAUAGGUAACGAGUUUAAAAGGUACGAAAAGGAAGUAUUUAGAUUUAAUAUUACACCACCAAAAGAAAAUAACCAAAAGUCUUUAGCAUCGUUCAUAGGUCCUCGUACGU